UCCCAGUUUUCUGCCCUAUGCGUCUCUUUCUUUGGCUGUUCUAAUUUGUAUUCUUUCCCUAUAAUAAACAAAACUGUGAGCACAAUAACUUUCAGUAAGUCUGUGAGUCCUUUUAGCAAAUUACUGAACCUGAGGUGGUUAGGAAAACCCUCAACCGUGUAGUUGGUGCCAGAACUGAUCUUCCCUCUGAGUUUGUAGUUGAACCACAGCUCCUUGUAGUUACAGCUAGAAAUUUUGGGCAGACUACUGAAGUUUUCUGGAGGACUGUGCCCUCACCUUACAGUCUUGGCUCACUCUGGGUACUGCCCAAGAUGUCCCCCUCCAAAUAUUUCCUAUACCAAAACUGAGCAUCCAAAAGUAUAACACAAAUGGAACCGCUUAAAACACACUGAAUAUGUAACUCAAAAAGAAAAAAAGAGAGAGAGGGAAAUGAACAUUUUAACAAAGUUAUUUGCCUACUAUGAUGCAUUUUGCUUCUAGCCAGAUCUGAAUUUAAAGGGAAAGGACAUCCUUUCUCUAAAAACAGCUCUUGAUCUAGCAGGCAGUCUUGGAUGUGAAAAAUACUCUCAAAGCUGCCUCCUUAAUAGAUAAUGAUGGGAUCUGGAGACAAUAUAUAGAGUCUAGUGGAAUAAGCAAGAAGACAUCAAACAGUUAUAAGCAUUUUUUAUCCUCCUAGUUUAUUAAUUCUUUAUGAAAGAUGAUUCUGAGAGGAAAAACAUGAUGAAAAUAAGGCUAUAGAUAGGAGAUUGGAAAAUAACAUUGAAUUGCAAAAAUUUCCAGCUUUGUGGUAAUCUUGGGUAAAUCACUUAACCUUUAAGAUCUUACCUACUACACUUCUGCCUGUUUAACCUCAUAGAGUAAAAAGAAUGUAUUAAGACAGUACAGGAACGACCUGGUUAUGUGAAACAUAAGUGGUAUUAUAAAUAUCUAAUUCACACAGACAUGAUUCUACCCGACAGUUUCAACGAUAUUCCUGCAUUUAUUUGCACAGAACAAGUGAGGGAUGACAUUUCUUCAGCUCCACUGCACACAGCACUUGGUGCCCCACAGAUUUGAGGGAUAAGGUAAAGGAGUUAAGAAUAUCUGAGGUUUUACAUAAAUUCAUCAAAACAGGAAGCUACAUUUAUAGAUGACCUUUACUAUCAUAUCACAAUGAAAAAGCCAAGAGUGUUGGAGAAUUUAAAGAGCCUUAUGAUAUAAGGGAAAGAUUCAUGGAUAUAACCAGAAAGACAGGUAAGGCCCAAAACAGGAAGAAUCUUGCAGGAAGCUAAAAUUCUGAAGCAUUACAUAAUAAAGAGCCUUGUGGGCUUUGAGCAGGAAAACCACCUCAAGGGAGGAAUGUUCAUGAAAAUAACUCUGGUAGAAGAAUAAAGGUGGAAGACUAGUGAUUUCAAUGGAUGAUGAUGCCAUAAACUAGGGUGUGGUGAGGCCGAAAUGAAAUGGACUGUGUGAAGUACUGAGCAGUAUGCUGUCCAGAGGACAGUGUAUGGACGGCUGCGGAUUGCAAUUCCACAUCUUAAGGGCAGCUGCAGGAAGUCAAGCAGCCAUAGAAUCAGACUAAAAGCAACAUCUGGACACUCCUGGGGAACACAGCCGCUGGGUCACUAAGCCCUGGGAGUUCUGCUCUCUCUCUCAACAGGGGGGUUUUCUAGGCUCACAUUAGCAUUUGCAGAAUUCAAAGAUAAGAUCCAUCCCCGAUUCAGUAAUUUCUAUCUAACUAACCCUAAAGAAGUCAAUUCCACAAAAUAAUUAAAUGCAAAAAUACUCAUUGCAAUAUUAUUUCUAAUAUUAAAAGACUCUAAACAACCUAAACACCAACAAUAAAAGACUAGUUUAAAAUAUUAUUAAGUACCUACAUGAAGAAAAAAGUAUGUGGCUAUUAAAACAGCAUUUCAAACAGUAUAAAUACAUAAGAUGUUUAUAAUG
This is a non-coding RNA of Microcebus murinus (gray mouse lemur), 1926 nucleotides long. The record is from RefSeq and is a predicted model, not a curated record. NCBI's taxonomy places the organism in Eukaryota, Metazoa, Chordata, Mammalia, Primates, Cheirogaleidae.